Molecule: ribosomal RNA, 520 nt
Filed under: uncultured Glomus
Lineage: Eukaryota; Fungi; Glomeromycota; Glomeromycetes; Glomerales; Glomeraceae
Description: SSU rRNA
Rfam family: Eukaryotic small subunit ribosomal RNA
Source: RNAcentral
AGCAGCCGCGGUAAUUCCAGCUCCAAUAGCGUAUAUUAAAGUUGUUGCAGUUAAAAAGCUCGUAGUUGAAUUUCGGGAUCAAUAUGUUGGUCGUGCCUUGGUACGUACUAAUUUAUUGGUUUCUUCCUUCUGACGAACCAUGAUGUCAUUAAUUUGGUGUCUUGAGGAAUCAGGACUGUUACUUUGAAAAAAUUAGAGUGUUUAAAGCAGGCUCACGCUUGAAUACAUUAGCAUGGAAUAAUGAAAUAGGACGUUUGAUUCUAUUUUGUUGGUUUCUAGGAUCGACGUAAUGAUUAAUAGGGAUAGUUGGGGGCAUUAGUAUUCAAUUGUCAGAGGUGAAAUUCUUGGAUUUAUUGAAGACUAACUACUGCGAAAGCAUUUGCCAAGGAUGUUUUCAUUAAUCAAAGAACGAAAGUUAGGGGAUCGAAGACGAUCAGAUACCGUCGUAGUCUUAACCAUAAACUAUGCCGACUAGGGAUCGGAUGAUGUUAAUUUUUAAUGACUCAUUCGGCGCCUUACG